UUUUCUUUGACUAGCAACAAGAGCUCACUUGCCAGAUCUUGUCUGAAAUCAAAAAGAAGUGAUUCCUUCUCUACACCCAGAAAAAAAAAAAUGUUUCUAGUCUAAAACAUGCCGAGAAAGAGCUGGCAUGUAAGAAUAAGGCAAAUGUUCAUAGGAAGUAGAAAUGGAAAAGUCAGAUGACAUCACCGUUCCAUCUGCCCGGAGCCCUCGGAUUCCUCAGGACAAUGUGCUCCACAGUCCAGUGGCGAUGAGGCUGGACGAAGCAGUGAGCAGUGUCUCAGACUGAACUGAAGAAAUGAGCCUAAAAAUGGAAGGUCAGACUUUUCCUACGAACUGGCAGGUGCUGCCACUGUUUCCCCCAACAGCCCUAUUCAGAGUGCAUCAUGCAGAAUUUUGCUCAGGAAACUGUUGAGGUCAGUGAAAAGAGAUGACAGACCUGGCUUUGAAGCAGAGAUAUUGCUACUGAAAGUAUGAUUAUCACCACAAGCAGUGUGCCAUAAACACAUCAAGGCUUAGGCAGAAAAAAAGAAAUCAUUGGUUGAGGUCAAACCCUAGAUUUAACCAUGGCAAAUAAAAGAAGUGGAUUUAAA
Taeniopygia guttata (zebra finch) is the source of this 590-nucleotide long non-coding RNA. RefSeq lists it as uncharacterized. Lineage: Eukaryota; Metazoa; Chordata; Aves; Passeriformes; Estrildidae. The record is from RefSeq and is a predicted model, not a curated record.